CUGCCCGGUUUGCUAAUUCUUCCCCCUCUCAGUCUGUCCAAUUCUUUACCUUUGUGUCACAAUUAAAAUAAAAUUUGAUAGUUUAAACUUGUUUGCAAAAUAAAAAGUGAACUGGUACAUGAUUUAAGAGAAAUAGUGACAUAAAGUAUAGUUCUUACAAUUGUUCAUCCUCAUGGGUAAAAAUCUAUAGGAACCAUAUUGACUAAGUUGUUGAUGAAAGUGAUAUAACUCUUGGCUAAGAAUUCAUAACAUUUCUAUUCAAGGUACUUAGAGAUUUGUUUCAAAAAUAUCACAAAACCAUAGUAUCAUUUACUCCUCAUUAGCAAGAAAUUCCCAAUAAAAGCCAUACACUUAGAUAUUCAAGUAACCAUUUUAUGAAAUGCAACCUGCUUUUGUAAUGAGUUUUGUCAAAACCUUGUUGACCCUAGUGAGAGUUGUAUCAUAGUCACAAGAUCAAGAUCACGUACACACCACAUAUAUAUAUGCUGCUUCUACACUGGAAGUACGCAACCACAUGUAUUGUGCAUCCACUAAAUAGGUUGCUCCAUACUCUAAGUGUUAGAACACCUCUCUAAAUAUUGUUUAGAAAAUGAGACAUAAAAGGGCUUGGCAAAAUAAAAGAAAAAGAAAAGAUGGACAUGUGCAAGUCCAUGAAAAAAAAAAUUGAGCACAUAAAGCUCGAAGAAAAAGAAAAUCUAGCCAUGUCUCAAUAUACAAGUAGAGAGAGUGUAGUAAAUAAAGGAGCAACCUAGUCCACCAUAUAACACACUUGCACAUCUUGAUCUAUGACUAUGACACUCCUCUCUUUGGAUCCUUGUUUUUGACUUAACAAUAUUUGCAAAGUAGAGUAUGCUACCUUGUUUAUCCCUACCAAGCCCCAUAUAAGCCUAUAAUUAUAGGAUGAAACAAGUUGGCAUUCAUGCCUUGGUGAGGACUACUAAAAAACUUUGAGUGAUCUAGAACGCUAAAUGAGGAGUAGGAUUGAACUAUGUGACUUAUUUUAAAAAGUGUCAUAAAAACUCUAAGUACCAAGAAUAUGAAAUUGGAAUUUGAUCUUGUUCUGAGAGUUGUUCCUUUUCUCAACCUCUGAAGGAUAUAUGCUAGACACUUACACAAAAACCCAUUUGGAUGAACUAUGUUCGAACUAGCAUUUUAUGCUCACUACUAUCUUAAGUUAGAAACCAUUGAUCACUCAUUUUUAACCUUUACUCGAGGACGAGCAAAGACUCAAGUGUGGGGGGUCUUGUUGACGGUAUUUAUACCAUGUUUUCUACUAUCAUAACCGUCAACAUAAGACUCAUUUUGGGAGAAAACAACCAAACAAAGUAGUAAUAUAGGUACAUAUAACCUAGUUCCACAUGUACAUGCUACUAUUUGGUUGCAGGAGUAAGAACAGGUACUUUUCAAGGGUCCAAACACUAAGAAGGGUGAAUAACUAAAGAUCAGUGACACCAGUAACCAAGACAACAUUAUAGUCAUGAAGAGGAAGACAUGUAGGACAGGGCUGACACCCUAACCCCAUAGAAUUGGGGUCGGGCGACCCCACUUUGGUGCGUCCCACAGGUCAGCUCAACUCCACCGACAUCAGAGAGCCUCCAGGACACUGCAGGUGGGCCCAACCAGCCAGAUAGGGGGUCGGCCGACCCCACUUCAUGGCGGUUCCAGGGUCGGUUGGCCUCCCACCGACCUUGCCCACAUGUUGCACAUGUUAGUUUGCCUCUACCGUUGAUCAGAUGGCGGUUGUGAAGUCGGUUUGAUCCAAUGGUGCAUGAUGAAGAUGACGCGGAUCGCUGACGUGGCACUGGAGUAGCCCCUACUCCAUCUCCCACUAUAAAUACCCCCC
Molecule: long non-coding RNA, 1843 nt
Filed under: Sorghum bicolor (sorghum)
Lineage: Eukaryota; Viridiplantae; Streptophyta; Magnoliopsida; Poales; Poaceae
Description: long non-coding RNA (SBIC_LNC016290)
Source: RNAcentral